GCCCCCGUAGCUCAGCGGAUAGAGCACCGGCCUCCGGAGCCGGGAGCGCAGGUUCGAGUCCUGCCGGGGGCG
Molecule: transfer RNA, 72 nt
Filed under: Acidimicrobiales bacterium
Lineage: Bacteria; Bacillati; Actinomycetota; Acidimicrobiia; Acidimicrobiales
Also listed under: 1 other name
Description: tRNA-Arg
Rfam family: tRNA
About the family: Transfer RNA (tRNA) molecules are approximately 80 nucleotides in length.
Source: RNAcentral